AGUGUGAAGAGUGCAAAGACCUUAUAGA
Molecule: non-coding RNA, 28 nt
Filed under: Homo sapiens (human)
Lineage: Eukaryota; Metazoa; Chordata; Mammalia; Primates; Hominidae
Source: RNAcentral